Molecule: long non-coding RNA, 707 nt
Organism: Bombyx mori (domestic silkworm)
Lineage: Eukaryota; Metazoa; Arthropoda; Insecta; Lepidoptera; Bombycidae
Exons: 3
Source: RefSeq, a predicted model, not a curated record
UUUAUAACAUUGUUAUACCCAUUUCUAUUGAUUUUUUUUACACAAAUGUUAUUUCUUACAUGAUGACAUAUUCGUAAACCAUGGCAUUUAAAGGGAAAGCUUAGUGUUUAUACAUACAUAUCAUAGAAGUUUCCGUUUUACAAUACUGGCCAUUUAAAAUGUAAUUUGGAAAUAAUUUGGACACUUCUAACAUGAAUACUUUGAUCUGAUAAACUGAGCCUCGUGGCCGCCCGAAAACCUAAGUCAACAACGAUAAAUUAAAAGUCAUAGUGGAAGCUGACGAUACACAAUCUACCGCUGAGUUAGUAACAGCUUUCAACGUUAGUAUCAAAGCAAUAUUGGUCCAUUUGCCUCAAAUUCGGAAGGUAAAAAUCCCGCACGGACUAUACGCUUGCCAGUUCGACAAACGCAUUAAGGUUUUUCUUGCAUUGCUUAACCGACACGGAAAUGAGAAGACCAAACACAAUCACAGGAUAGAGCUCUUUCGCUCCGCUAACGCCUCCAGUUUUACUUAUGUGAAUCGAGCGUUUCGAACGUUUUUUUUGCAUGAAAAUUUUUUGACCAAUUUACUGUACGGGUUUACCUAUGAAGGGUCGCUGUUAAUAACACUUGGUUAAAUAAUUAAUAUUGUGCUGUUAUUUUAAAAUCGGAAAUGCUCUAUACAUGUAACGUUGAAAAUGAUAAUUAAAUAUAAUGAAAGCCGUAAA